GGGCCAUGCUGUAUCAAGGGACUUGAUUCACUGGUUUUACCUCCCAUUUGCAAUGGUCCCUGAUCAGUGGUAUGAUACAAACGGCGUGUGGACUGGCUCGGCUACUCUCCUUCCAGAUGGUCAAAUCAUGAUGCUUUACACUGGAGACACCAGUGAUUCAGUGCAGGUGCAAAAUCUCGCGUACCCGGCUAACCUGUCUGAUCCACUUCUCAUUGACUGGAUCAAAUACCCGGGCAAUCCAGUUCUGGUUCCCCCGCCAGGAAUUGAAACCGACGAAUUUAGGGACCCGACUACAGGGUGGGUUGGACCCGAUGGAAAGUGGCGGAUCACUAUCGGGUCAAGAAUUAAUGAAACUAUUGGCGUUUCACUUGUGUAUCAAACCACCAACUUCACAACCUACGAGCUGUUAGAAGGGUUCUUACAUGCGGUUCCGGGUACGGGUAUGUGGGAAUGUGUGGACUUUUAUCCGGUUGCAAUAAACGGGUCCCAGGGAUUAGAUACAUCAGCUAAUGGACCGGAUAUUAAGCAUGUGCUAAAGGCUAGUUUGGAUAAUACAAAAGUAGAUUAUUAUGCACUCGGAACCUAUGACCCAGUAACAGAUAGAUGGACACCCGAUAACCCGAAGGAGGAUGUGGGUAUUGGGUUACGGGUGGACUAUGGAAGGUACUACGCCUCAAAGACAUUUUAUGACCAGUACAAGAAAAGGAGGAUUCUAUGGGGUUGGAUCAAUGAAACUGACACUGAAGAAGAUGACUUGGAAAAGGGCUGGGCCUCUGUUCAGACCAUUCCAAGGGCUGUAUUAUUUGACAAUAAGACUGGAACCAAUUUGCUUCAAUGGCCAGUGGAGGAGAUUGAGAGCUUGAGAUUGAACAGUACUGACUUUGAAGAGGUUUUGGUUGAACCUGGUUCAGUAGUCCCGCUGGACAUAGGCAUGGCCACGCAGCUAGACAUUUUUGUGGAGUUUGAAACAGAAUUGAUAUCAGAUUCGGUGGUUGAAGAAUACGGUUGCAGUGGUGGUGCAGUAGACAGGAGCUCUUUGGGACCAUUUGGUAUCCUGGCUAUUGCAGACCAAACACUUUCUGAACUCACACCUGUGUUUUUCCGUCCUGUCAAUUCAACUGACGGCACUCUCAAGACUUAUUUCUGUGCUGACGAAACAAGAUCAUCAAAAGCUCUUGAUGUCUUUAAGCAAGUUUAUGGAAGCACUGUUCCUGUGCUGGAAGAUGAAAAACUAGGCAUGAGGGUUCUGGUCGAUCAUUCGAUUGUGGAAAGUUUCGCACAAGGAGGAAGAACAGUAAUCACAUCGCGGAUUUAUCCAACAGAAGCAAUCUAUGGAGCUGCAAGGCUGUUCUUAUUCAACAACGCAACUUCUGUGAACGUUAAAGCUACACUCAAGAUAUGGGAGUUGAAUUCUGCCUUUAUCCGUCCGUUUCCAUUUGUUGACAGCAAUUAAAACACUUUUGUUUUGUCAAAUUCGUCCUAUUUGACGUUCCAUUUGAUUGCCAAUGCCCAGAGAUUGCAAAUCCUUGGCCAACCUAUGAUGUAUUAUUUCUUAUUUUUUUUUUUUGGAAAAAAAAUUGUAGGGGUUCCAGUACGUAUGCAAUUUAUUUGCUAAAUUCCGUUUAGGGCUAUUCCA
RNAcentral lists this unclassified non-coding RNA (1636 nucleotides) under Hevea brasiliensis (rubber tree). Lineage: Eukaryota; Viridiplantae; Streptophyta; Magnoliopsida; Malpighiales; Euphorbiaceae. The record is from RNAcentral.